Camelus ferus (Wild Bactrian camel) is the source of this 72-nucleotide transfer RNA. It matches the Rfam family "tRNA". Rfam says of the family: Transfer RNA (tRNA) molecules are approximately 80 nucleotides in length. Their secondary structure includes four short double-helical elements and three loops (D, anti-codon, and T loops). The record is from Rfam. NCBI's taxonomy places the organism in Eukaryota, Metazoa, Chordata, Mammalia, Artiodactyla, Camelidae.
GAGGAUAUAGCUCAGUGGUAGGGUGAGUGCUUAGCAUGCGUGAGGUCCUGGGUUCAAACCCCAGUAGCUCCA